AAAGUGCGAUAAGUGGUGCCCUGUGCACGAACUGAGCGCUUAAUCUUCGAAUACACAUUGUUCUGUCUAGCGAUAAGCUGUCAGAGCAUCUGCUUCAGGGUUGUUAUUUUUAACUUCACUCUCUUGAGCAAGUUCCUUCACUGUCAUGUUGGUUCAUCUUGAAUAGAAGAUGUUCCGACGUAACGCAUCACUGGCACAUCGUCAUCAAACUCUCGACCCUGUCACCACAGUUCUCUGGAGGUUGACGCUUGUGGUUGUUUGGUUUUGGCGUGUAUGCUAGAUUUUGAAUGCAACCUGAAGUCAGGUGUGGCUACCCGCUGAACUUAA
RNAcentral lists this unclassified non-coding RNA (327 nucleotides) under uncultured fungus. RNAcentral's name for it is "sequence contains ITS1". Lineage: Eukaryota; Fungi. The record is from RNAcentral.